Long non-coding RNA from Mauremys mutica (yellowpond turtle), 2142 nucleotides. RefSeq lists it as uncharacterized. The record is from RefSeq and is a predicted model, not a curated record. The transcript has 3 exons. Lineage: Eukaryota; Metazoa; Chordata; Testudines; Geoemydidae.
AGGCAGAAUUGAGACCUUUCAAAGUUUUAGCACAAGCGAGGGGGAAUGGCUCCCAGCCUCAGGUGCCAAAAUUUUGUGGGCCAGCCCUGGUCCCACCCAACUCUGUGGGUCCCUCUGUCCCAUCCCCCAGAACUGCCCCAUCACUAUAGUAACCAGUCCCAGCUGUUCAGUCCUACCACAAAGGAGCUCCCUCCCGCAGCAUUCUCCCCUGGCCCUGACCCCUCAGCUCUGGUGGACACUUUUGCAGAUAGGAGUUCAGCACUGGGGCGGAGAGGGGGGCACACUUUUCACCAUCUCCAGGGGGCGCCCCACGGCUCUAUCCAAACAUAGGGCAGAUUCUCACAGGGGCCCCAGCCCGGCCCUCGUGCACCCAGCGCUGUGCCAGUGACCCAGCUACGCACUGAGCCCUGGUGUCCAUCGAGCUGCUCAUGGGCCUGUCCCUGUGCUGUGACAGUUCGUGCAGACUCAGGGGAUGAGGGUGAGGGGUUCGCACGGCUCCCCCCAGCCUCAGGCCACCUGACCAUUUACCAGCAUCCUGGCUCACCACCAUUGUGCUGCCCAUCCCCCAGCUUGCUCCCAUCCCUGGACUUCCUCGGUAGCUCUGUGUCAUCUGCACCAGUCUCCCCCUCCCCUGCUCACCCUGCUCCCAGGGGGGGAAUAAAUGUGUGAAACACCCACCCCAAGGCAGGCCCAGCCCCGUAUCUCCCUGCUGCCAGGGGGAGAGUCACCACUGGGGGCUCCUCUUUGGCCUUGUCCACACCAGGCCAGUAGCCUCGGUUGGAGGCUGGGCAGCUAAGACGUUAACUAGCCUGGCUGUAAACCCUCGUGCAGGCCAAGUGCAGACUUUUAAACGUGUAUGAGCUUGGGACAGGAGACCAAUGAAUUACAAAGCGUGUUUACCAAUGAAAUCUGCUAGGCAGACAGUGAUCACCAAGAUACCAAACACUUCCCUGUUCUGCUGAGAUCAGCAAGGAUGGGCAUAGACCAAACAUCCACCCCGAGCCUUCAGAAGCUAGCCAGAGACUGAGCUGCGUAAUGCUCGAUCUGCAAGGAGGCAGCAUCCUUUCGGGAUUUGUGGAGAUGAUAACAUGGGAACGUGGCUUGGGCAUAAUCUCAGGUGCGAAUGGACCUGCUCUAGGUACACGGGGGUGUCCCCAUGGGGUGAGGCCAGUGCAGUGAUGCCCUUUCCCUGGGCAGACAAAAGCUGUGUCUACACCACAACUGCAGCAGUGGCACAGAUCAGUGCUGCAGCUACGCCGCUGUGGUGUCGUGAUGCAGAUUCUACAGCAAUGGAAGGGGCUUCGCCAUUGCCGUAGUUAAUCCAUCCCUCCAAGCUGGGUGAACCUAAGCUUUCCGUGUCGACCAGACCAAGCCUCAGCCUCGUUCAACUGGAGUAAGCAUGUCCACAUGGCCCUCAGCUCACUUUAACUGCAUGGGCUCAUGCUCGCACGCUCAGUCCAACCUGUGCACCUGCCCUGUGUCCACCAGGCCUCCGUGGAUCAGUUCUGCUGACUCCCUGUGAACCAGCUCCAGGAACAACUCCUCUGCCCCAUGUGCCCCAGAACCAGCUGUGCCAAGAGGGGUUUGUUUGCUCAGCGUCUUCCAGGAACACAUAUUUCACAAUCCAAUGAUUUCAAUAAAGCCACAGCGCAGGGCACACGGGUCACUUCUCCUCUGUGGGCUCAGUCGCACACACCCACUGCGUCACUUCAGGGGGGGCACGGAGGGAGGGGUCUCUGCAGUGAGAGGCCUGUCACACAUCCUGCCCCCUUGGGUGCCUGCCUCCUUGGUGCCUGCCCCAUCUCCCCAGCCUCCCAGCCUGUGACCAUCACACGGAGCUCAGCCUGCCACUCUCACAAGGACGAUCGCCUGCCCUAACGCCUGGCCACACUGCGCCACAAGGACUGUGCUAUGAACAUGGGGUUUGCCGGGUGCCUCCUGCUCCCAGCUGGACACCCCCUUGGCAGGAGCUCGGCUGCCUGCACGGGAGCUAGGAACGCAAGGAUCCCCAUCCUCCUGGCCUGGUUUUGGGCUUCCAUGACAGGACUCCCCAUGGCAGACUCAGGCAUCCCCGAACUAACUCAGCUCCGACUGGUGAAUGGCCCGAGUCGCUGCGCUGGGAGGGUCGAGGUGCUUCACAAC